UACGUAGGGGGCGAGCGUUGUCCGGAAUCAUUGGGCGUAAAGCGCGUGUAGGCGGCUCGGUAAGUCCGGUGUGAAACCUUGGGGCUCAACCCCAAGCCUGCACUGGAUACUGUCGAGCUUGAGUCCGGGAGGGGAGAGCGGAAUUCCUAGUGUAGCGGUGAAAUGCGCAGAUAUCAGGAGGAACACCGGUGGCGAAGGCGGUUCUCUGGGCAUGUUCUGACGCUGAGGAGCGAAAGUGUGGGGAGCGAACAGG
This 253-nucleotide ribosomal RNA is filed under the name uncultured bacterium. Its description in RNAcentral is "partial 16S ribosomal RNA". It matches the Rfam family "Bacterial small subunit ribosomal RNA", at positions 524 to 776 of the family's 1533-position model. The record is from RNAcentral.